This 262-nucleotide ribosomal RNA is filed under the name uncultured archaeon. RNAcentral's name for it is "partial 16S ribosomal RNA". It matches the Rfam family "Archaeal small subunit ribosomal RNA", at positions 720 to 982 of the family's 1478-position model. The record is from RNAcentral.
CACUGACAUUAGAUACCCGUCGUAGUCCCAGCCGUAAACUAUGCGCGUUAGGUGUAUCGGUAACCACGUGUUACUGAUGUGCCGAAGAGAAAUCGUGAAACGCACCACCUGGGAAGUACGGUCGCAAGGCUGAAACUUAAAGGAAUUGGCGGGGGAGCACCGCAACGGGAGGAGCGUGCGGUUUAAUUGGAUUCAACACCGUAAACUCACCAGGGAAGACUGUUACAUGAAGGCCGAGAUGAAGACUCUGCUAGAUUUUCAG